Molecule: ribosomal RNA, 460 nt
Filed under: uncultured bacterium
Lineage: Bacteria
Description: bacterial SSU rRNA
Rfam family: Bacterial small subunit ribosomal RNA
Source: RNAcentral
GACGAACGCUGGCGGCGUGCCUAACACAUGCAAGUCGAACGAGGUCCAAGGAAGCUUGCUUCCUGAAGACCUAGUGGCGAACGGGUGAGUAACACGUGAGAAACCUGCCUCGGAGUGGGGAAUAACUCGGGGAAGCUCGAGCUAAUACCGCAUACCUUCACAUGAUCGCAUGGUCGAGUGAAGAAAGAAUUUCGCUCUGAGAGGGUCUCGCGGCCUAUCAGCUUGUUGGUGGGGUAACGGCCUACCAAGGCAACGACGGGUAGGCUGGUUUGAGAGAACGAUCAGCCACACUGGGACUGAGACACGGCCCAGACUCCUACGGGAGGCAGCGGUGGGGAAUCUUGCGCAAUGGGCGAAAGCCUGACGCAGCAACGCCGCGUGCGGGAUGACGGCCUUCGUGGUUGUAAACCGCGUUUCAGCAGGGACGAAAAUAGACGGUACCUGCAGAAGAAGACCCCGG